Molecule: ribosomal RNA, 783 nt
Filed under: uncultured bacterium
Lineage: Bacteria
Description: bacterial SSU rRNA
Rfam family: Archaeal small subunit ribosomal RNA
Source: RNAcentral
GCCAUGCGAGUCGAGAGGUGUAAGACCUCGGCAUACUGCUCAGUAACACGUGGUUAACCUGCCCUAAGGUGGAGAAUACUCCCGGGAAACUGGGGUUAAUGCUCCAUAGUGGAUAUGUCCUGGAAUGGUAUAUCCUCGAAAGAUCCGUCGCCUUAGGAUGGGACUGCGUCCGAUUAGGUUGUUGGCGGGGUAACGGCCCACCAAGCCAUUGAUCGGUACGGGUUGUGGGAGCAAGAUCCCGGAGAUGGAUUCUGAGACAUGAAUCCAGGCCCUACGGGGCGCAGCAGGCGCGCAAACUUUACAAUGCGAGCAAUCGUGAUAAGGAAACCCUGAGUGCCUGUCGAUGCAGGCUGUUCAUAUAUCUAAAUCAUAUGUGAAGAAAGGGCAGGGCAAGACCGGUGCCAGCCGCCGCGGUAAUACCGGCUGCUCGAGUGAUGGCCACUAUUACUGGGUUUAAAGCGUCCGUAGCUUGACUGUUAGGUCCCUUGGGAAAUCUUCGCGCUUAACGUGAAGGCGUCUAAGAGAUACCGGCAGUCUUGGAACUGGGAGAGGUAAACCGUACUUCGGGGGUAGGAGUGAAAUCUUGUAAUCCUCGAGGGACGACCUAUGGCGAAGGCAGUUUACCAGAACAGCUUCGACAGUGAGGGACGAAAGCUGGGGGAGCAAACGGGAUUAGAUACCCCGGUAGUCCCAGCCGUAAACAAUGUGCGUUAGGUGUGUCGGUAACCACGCGUUACUGAUGCGCCGAAGAGAAAUCGUGAAACGCACCACCUGGGAAGUACG